Molecule: long non-coding RNA, 1567 nt
Organism: Pavo cristatus (Indian peafowl)
Lineage: Eukaryota; Metazoa; Chordata; Aves; Galliformes; Phasianidae
Source: Ensembl
CAGCACACUGCUGUGCUCGGAGCAGCAGAGGUCCAGCCCUGUGGGUCACCACACAGCACAGCCCCCUGCCCUCCAUCCCUGCUGGUGCCGGCCCUCGGGGCUAGAAGCACUCAGGUGCAUUAUGAGCGAGUUAUGAAACCACUGAUUGCCCAACCAAGGUUUUUAAUUAUUAUUUUCAUUCUAAGCGCUCCAUUUGCCCUUUUCACACAGGGUACCCUUGCCACGUGCAGUUUGGUCAUAGCUCCUUGGGCCAUCCCAGGGCACCUGCCUCUCCCGUUUCCCUGCCCACCUUUGCCCCUUAAUCUCUCCUCUGUUUCCGAGCUGAGCCGGGCAGGGCUGGCCCAGUCCAAGCAGACAGAAGGGCACAUCAGGCAGGAAGGUCUAUUUUAAGCAAAACAUUUGCGUCAGGCCAUGUGCUUUUUAGAGCCACAUUUUUCCUUAGGCCAUAUGCUUUUCAGAUCUGAUGUCGUCUUUGUAAUAAGAACUUCAGCUUGUUACUGUUUCUAACUUUGGUUACGGUGGUGCACCUGGACGGGGGGGGGGGCUCCACUGAUUCUGUUUUGCUGCUGAUGUGAUUCACCCGCAGCGUCCCGGCAGCAGGCAGCACUGCGGGGUGGGAGUAGCAGGCGGCCUUCGAGGAAGCAGCGACUUGCCGCAUCGCUUCUGGCGUUGCACAAGGCCUCACUCGGUGCCCGAUAAUGAGCUUAAUUUAGCUCCACACGUCCCUGCCCUCGCUUCGCUGCUGGGCGCUGCGGACUUUCCGAGAGUUCUUUCGCUGAAGGGCAGAGCAAAAAUAGCGCCGGCGCUCCGGGCACAUCCCGCGAACAGCCGGGCCGCGGGCCGAGGAGGGCCCGGGCGGCUCAGCCGGCGCUGCGAGGCACAGCGCGCCUCCGUGCGGGGGAGCAGCCGCUCCGAGGGCCGGGCAGGGAGCGCCGUGCCGCCCCGCACACUGACCCGAACUACAGCUCCCAGCGCCGCCGUCACGUGCCGCGGGUCACGUGCCCGCCCGGCCCCUUUGUUUUGAGCGGCGCUGGCAGCGGCCGGCGGCACCCGAGAGCUCCGCAUCGAGCCGAGCCAGCGGACGGUGGCACCACGGCGCGCGGAGAUCCCGGCCCAACCCCUGCUCGGCUGCGGGUGGCACCGGAGUCCGGAGGGCGAGAACAGCGGAGAGCGGCAGGAGGUGUUACACGAAGGCUCCGAAAGCCAGAAGAGCCCAAGCUCUGGAGCUUUGUGCAGGAGAGCCCUUGGUUUGUGUCAGUAAGGCAAUCUGCUGAAGCUGAGGUCCCAUUUCACUUAUGUUGAGCUCUAAUCCUAUGCCAGCGAUGCUGGGAUGUUCAGAAUUUGUCAGCCCUGACACCUGUUCUAUGCAUAGUGUACAAAUAGUGUACGGAGUACAGUUUGUAUUUAACAUGUAGCAGAUGGCGCUGCCUUGCCCUGCACAAGGUCACUUGCUGUGAGAUAUUGGGUCAGCCCUAGUAAAGAUGGAAAGCUGCACUGACUGUGUGCCCACACGAGUGUCUCGGCUGUUUAUGGUGAUGAAGCAAAGAACGUAUCAGACUGACUGCUG